This 253-nucleotide ribosomal RNA is filed under the name uncultured bacterium. RNAcentral describes it as "partial 16S ribosomal RNA". It matches the Rfam family "Bacterial small subunit ribosomal RNA", at positions 524 to 776 of the family's 1533-position model. The record is from RNAcentral.
UACAGAGGUCCCAAGCGUUGUUCGGAUUCAUUGGGCGUAAAGGGUGCGUAGGUGGCGCCGUAAGUCGGGUGUGAAAUUUCGGAGCUUAACUCCGAAACUGCAUUCGAUACUGCGGUGCUUGAGGACUGGAGAGGAGACUGGAAUUUAUGGUGUAGCAGUGAAAUGCGUAGAGAUCAUAAGGAAGACCAGUGGCGAAGGCGGGCUACUGGGCCGAUACUGACGCUGAGGCGCGAAAGCCAGGGGAGCAAACGGG